Molecule: ribosomal RNA, 253 nt
Filed under: uncultured bacterium
Lineage: Bacteria
Description: partial 16S ribosomal RNA
Rfam family: Bacterial small subunit ribosomal RNA
Source: RNAcentral
UACGGAGGGUGCAAGCGUUAUCCGGAUUCAUUGGGUUUAAAGGGUGCGUAGGCGGAAUACUAAGUCAGUGGUGAAAUCCUACAGCUCAACUGUGGAAUUGCCAUAGAUACUGGUAAUCUAGAAUUUAGUUGAAGUGGGCGGAAUAUAACAUGUAGCGGUGAAAUGCAUAGAUAUGUUAUAGAACACCGAUAGCGAAGGCAGCUCACUAAGUUAACAUUGACGCUGAUGCACGAAAGCGUGGGUAGCGAACAGG